This 209-nucleotide long non-coding RNA is filed under the name Salvia miltiorrhiza (redroot sage). Its description in RNAcentral is "long non-coding RNA (SMIL_LNC003938)". Lineage: Eukaryota; Viridiplantae; Streptophyta; Magnoliopsida; Lamiales; Lamiaceae. The record is from RNAcentral.
UUUAUUUCCAACACACAAAGUCGAUUUUCAAACAAAUAUCUCAAUAUACACUCGACUUUAUACUUUUUUUUCUCUUUCUUUUUCUUUUCUCUCUUCUUUUUUUUUCUUUUUUUUCUUUUUUUUCUACAACUUUUCUAGAGCUUAUAAGAGUAAAUAGUAGCUCAAUAUCAUCCCUUCUUUUUCACAACCCACUAUGAAUAUUCACCACA